CAGUUUUGGCGGAGCCAUCCUUGGGAUACCACCCUUGUAGUACUGGGACUCUAACCAUAGGCCAUGAAUCUGGUCUUGGGACACUGUCAGGUGGGCAGUUUGACUGGGGCGGUCGCCUCCCAAAAGGUAACGGAGGCGCUCAAAGGUUCUCUCAGUACGGUCGGAAAUCGUACGUAGAGUGUAAAGGCAAAAGAGAGCUUGAUUGCAAGACAUACAGGUCGAGCAAGGAUGAAAAUCGGACUUAGUGAUCCGGUGGUUCUGCGUGGAAGGGCCAUCGCUCAACGGAUAAAAGCUACCCUGGGGAUAACAGGCUUAUCUCCCCCAAGAGUCCACAUCGACGGGGAGGUUUGGCACCUCGAUGUCGGCUCAUCACAUCCUGGGGCUGUAGUAGGUCCCAAGGGUUGGGCUGUUCGCCCAUUAAAGUGGUACGCGAGCUGGGUUCAGAACGUCGGGAGACAGUUCGGUCCCUAUCCGUCGCAGGCGUAGGAAAUUUGAGAAGACCUGUCCUUAGUACGAGAGGACCGGGAUGGACGUACCUCUGGUGUACCAGUUGU
RNAcentral lists this ribosomal RNA (554 nucleotides) under Clostridioides difficile. RNAcentral describes it as "bacterial LSU rRNA". It matches the Rfam family "Bacterial large subunit ribosomal RNA", at positions 2172 to 2724 of the family's 2925-position model. Lineage: Bacteria; Bacillati; Bacillota; Clostridia; Peptostreptococcales; Peptostreptococcaceae. The record is from RNAcentral.